RNAcentral lists this non-coding RNA (47 nucleotides) under Carnobacterium iners. RNAcentral describes it as "Na+-I sequence". It matches the Rfam family "Na+ riboswitch aptamer (DUF1646)". Rfam says of the family: Proteobacteria, NC10, Acidobacteria, Verrucomicrobia. Lineage (Clostridia) The riboswitch of Na+ was first reported in a comparative analysis of intergenic regions and called DUF1646 RNA, it was also suggested that it acts as cis-reg RNA present upstream of Na+ genes. The record is from Rfam by way of RNAcentral. Lineage: Bacteria; Bacillati; Bacillota; Bacilli; Lactobacillales; Carnobacteriaceae.
GGUUGGGCGAUAGCUUUCAAGGAUGAUUCUUCAAGGGGUGAGAAGAA